UGAAGGUGAGGCAGGCCUCUUCCUUUUAUUGCUAUUCUGGGUGCUGUCAGAUGAGCAGCUGGAAUUCUGUGAGCACACAGCCUGUCCAUGUUCCUCAGUGAGAUUGCUCCUCUCCAACUGUUCAGCUUCGUCUUCUAGACAUUUAAACAAGUACAUUCCUUUGGACUCAUGAGUGGCUUUGUCAAAUCCAGGAUUACUUGACUCCUUCUUUGCCUUCUUCUCUUCUCUUCUCUUCUGUUUCUUUUCUUUCUUUUCCCUCUCCAACUGUUCAGCUUCGUCUUCUAGACAUUUAAACAAGUACAUUCCUUUGGACUCAUGAGUGGCUUUGUCAAAUCCAGGAUUACUUGACUCCUUCUUUGCCUUCUUCUCUUCUCUUCUCUUUUCUUUCUUUUC
Molecule: long non-coding RNA, 393 nt
Filed under: Nicotiana tabacum (common tobacco)
Lineage: Eukaryota; Viridiplantae; Streptophyta; Magnoliopsida; Solanales; Solanaceae
Description: long non-coding RNA (NTAB_LNC007856)
Source: RNAcentral